Molecule: long non-coding RNA, 335 nt
Organism: Jaculus jaculus (lesser Egyptian jerboa)
Lineage: Eukaryota; Metazoa; Chordata; Mammalia; Rodentia; Dipodidae
Exons: 3
Source: RefSeq, a predicted model, not a curated record
AAUAUAAAUGAUAAUGGUUGGAGCAACCUUUUGGCUGCUGAAGAUGAAACAGAUUUGAAGCUAACAAUAUUUGUGAUGCUAUGCCUGGACCAGACCCGAGGAGCUACGGACCAAAGAAAAAUCCCACUAACAUGCUGAAGGAUGCUUCACUUGUAAAAGGAAUCCUACCUCCUCAGAUGAUUACAGUUCCUGUGAACAUGUUGGGCUUUCCAGAAGUCUUACUACAUUAAGGGUGUCAAUCAUCAUUUUCCAUAUAUGACAUAAAUAUUUCUUUCAAUUUUGACUUCCCUUUUCAAUUAGCUGAUGAUAGGGCUGGAUUUCUUGUUGUUAUUGUU